Ornithodoros turicata is the source of this 717-nucleotide long non-coding RNA. RefSeq lists it as uncharacterized. The record is from RefSeq and is a predicted model, not a curated record. The transcript is spliced from 3 exons. NCBI's taxonomy places the organism in Eukaryota, Metazoa, Arthropoda, Arachnida, Ixodida, Argasidae.
UUUUUUUUUCGCACAGCGUCGUUUGGAAAGUGCACUUCCUUGUUCUGACCUUGCCUUUUAUGGGCUGGAGCGAUAUGAUUCGUAAAUAUGCCACGGCGAAGUUGUCGAAGAUGCGAGAGUGCUACGCUGUUAGAACAAUUCAUCGGUGCAUUCAAGUGUUACCUAUUAUAAGCUGCCAAAAGACCAAGCAGUGCGAAGCUCUUGGCUGACAGUGGUGCCUGCUAAUCUCCACUGCAAGGAUUUCGUCCACGAAUGUUAUCAUAGGUUACGCGCGACUCCAGAGGCAAUUUGGAAUCUCGGCACGAAAUCGUCUGAUGAAAAUCUGAGGUGCCCGACGCAUAACAUUUUGAACGUGCCACGGAGGAUCAAGACAAAAAACGAGAGCAAAAAAUGGUGCACGCUGAAGGCGGAAAUGAAGCAUGAUCUGGCUUGCAUCUGGUCAUGAAGAAAUUGCUGACACGUAGUUGCAGUCCACCUCCACCAACAGGGUGGAAAACAAAGAUCGCCAUUCCGAUUAGCUGCUAUCUCCCAGUUCAAGCACUUUUGUGUCUGGACACUGGUUCCUGUGGAUGGGAUGUUACAAGCUUUACUGUCUGAUAUAGAAGGUACGUUACAUUAGUUCAGUUAAUUUGUCUUUUGCACAUUUUUGUUACUGUUAGCUGGAUUACUGUUGGACAUACAAUCCUUUGACACACCGAAGCUGAUGUCGCCUCUGAU